This is a long non-coding RNA of Lycium barbarum (goji berry), 281 nucleotides long. RefSeq lists it as uncharacterized. The record is from RefSeq and is a predicted model, not a curated record. Lineage: Eukaryota; Viridiplantae; Streptophyta; Magnoliopsida; Solanales; Solanaceae. The transcript is spliced from 3 exons.
UCCAAGAACCCUUAUUUUCUCUCCCAAACCCCCUUUCUAAUUGAGCCAUCAUAUAAGCUAAAUCCUAGACCCUUGACAUGAUAUUAGUUAAAGAGAAGUUGUAGCCUAAGUUUUCCUUGUGUUGUAAGCAAGAAGCUGGAAAGAGGAACAAGAUUCUUGAAGAUUCUGAUUGUUAAAGGAUAAGUGUUUUUGGGCAGCAAGUACAAGUUAUAAUACGACUAAACGCUAAAGGUACAGACGUUCAUUUCGGAGAUCCGCCAGCUUAGGACACUUAUUCAGCU